Nematostella vectensis (starlet sea anemone) is the source of this 1498-nucleotide long non-coding RNA. RefSeq lists it as uncharacterized. The record is from RefSeq and is a predicted model, not a curated record. Lineage: Eukaryota; Metazoa; Cnidaria; Anthozoa; Actiniaria; Edwardsiidae. The transcript has 3 exons.
AGUCCCUUAAAACAGAAACACAAUUACUUUUAUUAUCAAAAGGCAAUAUAACAACUGACCCUCCCUAAUUUUGCUUUUGUGCUUAGCGUUCACCAAACAAGUGCCCUGCUUCAAAUUAAACCCCUCUCACAGCUAAAAUAAUGAAUACCUAAGCGCCCAACCCCCACUCUUGCGACUAAAUAAAAAUAAAAAGGGCCAAUAAACAAGCAUUUACAGCAACUUAAAUUUCAAUUUUGGAGUAAAUAGUGAUGCAAUGUAUUUUUGUGAGCUGUAAUACUAGUAAAAGAUAACAUGUGUAUACUAACUGUUUGUGAUGUUCCAGAGAAACGAAGGAUAAGACCAAUCUGGUAGGCCAAGGCUGACAUGUGCAUGCACCGGUUACGAAGAAUGGUUGCUGCAACAGUAGCCACAACUGUAUAGUCAGGGUUCUCAUCUGAUGCCCUCUGACGCUUCUUGGUUUUUGACCAGCAUAUGCAGUCUAGCAGUUCAGUUGUUAAUGGUGCUCUGGUCUUUAAUUCCUCAAUAAAAUCAGAGAGUUUAAAUAAUGGCAGUGAAUCAUGACGAGUAAGCCUCAGAGUGCUGGGUGACUUAGUUGAGCUGAGAUCCAACAACUAUUCUUCUAUUCUUUUGAAGACAAUCUUCUUCGCCACCAAACAAUCAGUAGCCUUGCCAAGCAGGGUAGACAGAGCAAGCUGAUUAAGCCCCAAAGCCAAGUACUUUACUACACACGCAAUAUGCUCAUCUUUGAUCUCGAUUUUCCUUGGACCUGAGGGGUAGUAAACUGUUAUCUACAAUGAAAGGAGAGAUUCAUGUUUUCUUGUCCUUUAUCAUUAUAACAGAUCAUUUUUUUUACAACUGAGAGAAAUAAAGGAGAAGAAAGCCUCUGAUAGCAGUAUACGCCUUGACGCUGCACUUCAACUUCAACAGCAGAAACGAAACAUUUUUGGGUGGCCUAAAGCCAAUGUCCAGUCCAGAACUACUAUGAUUGCAAAUCAUUGCCCAAGAAAAAAAAAUGGAUUGCUUCAUUAUUUUAAACCAAGGCAAACACAGCCCCGGAUGAGACACAGAGAUUCCUUAGAAAUCAGUGGGCUACAUUGAACACUUACAGUGUACUUACGCAGUGUACUUACAUGCAGAAGCUAUUGUUAGGGAUAACCAGGAGAUCAUAAAUUCUUUAUAGUUCACUAUAUGUUAAUACAUGAGCAGUAAUCUUUUCAGUAGCUAUUAUCAUGGCCAUCACUUAGACCCAAAUAGCUUACUGCGUACGUACAGGCAUGCAGCUCGGGGUAGGCACACGGGUUGUGCCCCUCCCACUCAACCACCAAAAAGUAGUCUUUUUUAAAAAUAUACUUACUUUCCAUAAUAUCUAUGACUGCACAUCCCCUCCACAGCUAAUCAGAUUGUUUAUUAUGGUUAUCAGACUUCACCUUUUCUUUUCUAGACAUACAAUGGCUUCAAUUAAAUAAUUUCUUUUGUUUAAUAAAAUAAGACUACAAGC